This 1159-nucleotide long non-coding RNA is filed under the name Taeniopygia guttata (zebra finch). Its description in RNAcentral is "lncRNA (ENSTGUG00000029702.1)". Lineage: Eukaryota; Metazoa; Chordata; Aves; Passeriformes; Estrildidae. The record is from RNAcentral.
AAAAAAAAAAAAAAGAAAAAAAAAAAAGAGGGCAGCCUCGAAUCAAGGUCUAUAAUUCAUCUGGAAUGAAGAAAAAAAAGUUUGAGAGAGCUACUGUGUAUAGGCAAAAGAAGUUUCCUCCAGAGACAGGAAUACCAACCUCUGCUGAAGAUUUGCAGGCCCUCUUCUACUCUUUACCACUUUUACUAAACCUGUCACAAGCUGAGCGCUCCUCAAGAGAGUCCCUGUAGUCGAGCUCUUGGUCCUUGUAACCAGCAAGAGCUGAAUAAAGUACCAGAGAAGACCCAGUCUGCUGGGUCCUUUCAAUGUACAAGAAUCUCUUUUUCUUGGAUUGUAUGUGAGGCAGUCAAGCUGAGAGGAUCCUCACAAACAGAAGAGUACGACAUGCCCACAUUGAUCAUUUCCAGCACUUGGCAUCUUCUGUGCCACGAAACUGCUGAUGGUGUAUCAGCCAAGAUGCAACACUAAAAGUAUUUCAGUAAUGGCCAAGGAACCAACAACUGAGCAGCAGGCACUGAAUAUCAUUUGGAAAGCAUAUCCUUUUUAGUUCACAGGUGGCGUGAGGAGGAACAAUUGCCUUGAAAAUUACAGCAGUUCAGCAAUUUCUUCAAAUUGACAUAAAUCAAGGAAUAACUACUUAGAAUAACCAACUCCUUACUCCAGGACAUGAUCAGAACUAGAAAAUUAUAUUGAAGCUGGGAAGAUGAAGAGAUGUUUGGAUAUGCUGAGAUCACAUUUUUCAGCUGUAAGCACAGGAGUGCACAUUUUAACAACGGAGCAGAUGCUUCCAAUUAUCUGCAAUAAGGGACACUUGAAAAUCUAGCUGGUAUUAGGUGGUUGUCAGAAGGCGCUUGGAUAAGAAGAAAAGGAUGGAAAGUGCAGCAAAAUAAUUUUACUUUCAUAACACAUUAAUUUUAAGACUGCUCUACAAAUUGAAAAACUCGUGUGUAUUCUGAUGACUGAAAGCAAAACAAUCAAACUGGAAAUCUUAAUGUAGAGUGCUUUUCCUAUUUUAAACCAUGACAAACUUUACUCAUGAAAUAUUUCCUUUGAUGUUCUACAGUGUUAUUCAAAUUUAAAUAGAUUUACAUGUUUAACUGUGCCUACUGCUUGCUCAUGUCGUGCUUACAUGUGACCUGAAAAUAAGAUUCCCAUAGAA